GUAGGUGGCAAGCGUUGUCCGGAAUUAUUGGGCGUAAAGCGCGCGCAGGCGGUUCUUUAAGUCUGAUGUGAAAGCCCACGGCUCAACCGUGGAGGGUCAUUGGAAACUGGAGAACUUGAGUACAGAAGAGGAAAGCGGAAUUCCACGUGUAGCGGUGAAAUGCGUAGAGAUGUGGAGGAACACCAGUGGCGAAGGCGGCUUUCUGGUCUGUAACUGACGCUGAGGCGCGAAAGCGUGGGGGAGCAAACAGGAUUAGGUACCCUGGUAGUCCACGCCGUAAACGAUGAGUGCUAAGUGUCAGGGGGUUUCCGCCCCUUAGUGCUGCAGCUAACGCAUUAAGCACUCCGCCUGGGAGUACGGCCGCAAGGCUG
Molecule: ribosomal RNA, 371 nt
Filed under: uncultured organism
Description: partial 16S ribosomal RNA
Rfam family: Bacterial small subunit ribosomal RNA
Source: RNAcentral